Zonotrichia leucophrys gambelii is the source of this 531-nucleotide long non-coding RNA. RefSeq lists it as uncharacterized. NCBI's taxonomy places the organism in Eukaryota, Metazoa, Chordata, Aves, Passeriformes, Passerellidae. The record is from RefSeq and is a predicted model, not a curated record. The transcript is spliced from 3 exons.
UGGAAAUCAGGAUCAGCUGAGAGCCUGAGAGGCCGGUGGGCAAGUCACAGGCUGGUGACACAUCCAUUCAGAUGGGCAUGCACAAAAGAAGAUUUGUAUGCGCUUGAAAGUAAUUCUGGCUUAUUUGAGAAGCAACAGUUUGACACUGGUGUCAAAUAAAUUAAAAAUCAGCUUAAUGGUGGCAAACAACGCAUCAGUACAAACAAUAACAUUUGAACCAAUGUAUAGAGAAAAGUAAAAGAAAGAAGAUUAAAACAUCAGCACAAUGUGGGUGUCAAAUAAGACUUUGGACAUCAGGAAAAUGAUAUACUAAAAAUACUGUUUUCAGCUGAAGACUGUAAACUGAUGUACAAAAUCACCUACCUACUCCAGCAACUACUUAAAGCAACACAUAACCCUUUGACUAUUCAGAUUUUGAAAUUUCUGUGCUAAAAAUCCAUCAUGGUGUAUUUUAGAGGAGAAAAACUCACAAAAAAACCCAGAACAAAAUAAAAAACCAAAACUGAAACAAAAAUAUCCUAGGAAAAAACA